AAUCAACGCUGGCGGCGCGCUUAACACAUGCAAGUCGCACGAGAAAGUGGAGCAAUCCAUGAGUAAAGUGGCGUACGGGUGAGUAACACGUGGAUCAUCUACCUCUUGGUGGGGAUAACCUUGGGAAACCGGGGCUAAUACCGCAUAAGCCUGGAAAGGGAAAGCAGCAAUGCGCCGAGAGAGGAGUCCGCGGCCGAUUAGCUAGUUGGUAGGGUAAUGGCCUACCAAGGCAAUGAUCGGUAGCCGGCCUGAGAGGGCACACGGCCACACUGGCACUGAAACACGGGCCAGACUCCUACGGGAGGCAGCAGUGGGGAAUCUUGCACAAUGGGGGAAACCCUGAUGCAGCGACGCCGCGUGAGCGAUGAAGCCCUUCGGGGU
This 381-nucleotide ribosomal RNA is filed under the name uncultured bacterium. RNAcentral's name for it is "bacterial SSU rRNA". It matches the Rfam family "Bacterial small subunit ribosomal RNA", at positions 32 to 424 of the family's 1533-position model. The record is from RNAcentral.